RNAcentral lists this ribosomal RNA (373 nucleotides) under uncultured Flavobacteriia bacterium. RNAcentral's name for it is "bacterial SSU rRNA". It matches the Rfam family "Bacterial small subunit ribosomal RNA", at positions 521 to 896 of the family's 1533-position model. The record is from RNAcentral. Lineage: Bacteria; Pseudomonadati; Bacteroidota; Flavobacteriia.
UAAUACGGAGGAUCCAAGCGUUAUCCGGAAUCAUUGGGUUUAAAGGGUCCGUAGGUGGAUAAUUAAGUCAGAGGUGAAAUCCUGCAGCUCAACUGUAGAAUUGCCUUUGAUACUGGUUAUCUUGAAUUAUUGUGAAGUAGUUAGAAUAUGUAGUGUAGCGGUGAAAUGCAUAGAUAUUACAUAGAAUACCAAUUGCGAAGGCAGAUUACUAACAAUCAAUUGACACUGAUGGACGAAAGCGUGGGGAGCGAACAGGAUUAGAUACCCUGGUAGUCCACGCCGUAAACGAUGGUCACUAGCUGUUCGAACUUCGGUUUGAGUGGCUAAGAGAAAUUGAUAAGUGACCCACCUGGGGAGUACGUUCGCAAGAAUG